Molecule: non-coding RNA, 68 nt
Organism: Syngnathoides biaculeatus (alligator pipefish)
Lineage: Eukaryota; Metazoa; Chordata; Actinopteri; Syngnathiformes; Syngnathidae
Source: the annotation of a RefSeq genome assembly
GAGAGAGGCCUAGAGGCAAUAAUGACUGCUAAUCCUUAUCUCCUUGGUUAAAUCCCAGGGCUCACUCG